Molecule: ribosomal RNA, 301 nt
Filed under: uncultured bacterium
Lineage: Bacteria
Description: partial 16S ribosomal RNA
Rfam family: Bacterial small subunit ribosomal RNA
Source: RNAcentral
CAGCAGCCGCGGGAAUACGAGGGGGGCAAGCGUUGUUCGGAAUUAUUGGGCGUAAAGCGUGCGCAGGCGGUUAUAUAAGUCAGAUGUGAAAUCCCCGGGCUCAACCUGGGAACUGCAUUUGAGACUGUAUAGCUAGAGUACGGUAGAGGGGGAUGGAAUUCCGCGUGUAGCAGUGAAAUGCGUAGAUAUGCGGAGGAACACCGAUGGCGAAGGCAAUCCCCUGGACCUCUACUGACGCUCAUGCACGAAAGCGUGGGGAGCAAACAGGAUUAGAGACCCGAGUAGUCCCUGUCUCUUAUAC